This is a non-coding RNA of Zonotrichia albicollis (white-throated sparrow), 257 nucleotides long. NCBI's taxonomy places the organism in Eukaryota, Metazoa, Chordata, Aves, Passeriformes, Passerellidae. The record is from RefSeq and is a predicted model, not a curated record.
GUUCUUUGCAGAUCCUCUCACUGCUACCCAGCACUCCUGACCUGUGGUGCAGAGGAGCCCAUCUGUGUCCUCUAGCUAAGAAAGAAGUGGUAUUGAUAUGACUGCCCAUUGGAAGCAAACAGUAACAUGAGCAGCAACCCACAUAAGAGGAAGUUGAACACGUAGGACUUCUUAUAGUUGCUCCUGGAGAACUUCAGUGUCUUUGUGUGACUCCUCAUUUCUGUUGUUCGGGCACUUGAUGAAGGCAGAGGUCUGCA